RNAcentral lists this ribosomal RNA (253 nucleotides) under uncultured bacterium. RNAcentral describes it as "partial 16S ribosomal RNA". It matches the Rfam family "Bacterial small subunit ribosomal RNA", at positions 524 to 776 of the family's 1533-position model. The record is from RNAcentral.
UACAGAGGGUGCAAGCGUUAAUCGGAAUUACUGGGCGUAAAGCGUGCGUAGUCGGUUAUUUAAGUCGGGCGUGAAAGCCCCGGGCUCAACCUGGGAAUUGCGUUCGAUACUGGAUAGCUAGAGUUCGGCAGAGGGAAGCGGAAUUUCGGGUGUAGCGGUGAAAUGCGCAGAUAUCGGGAGGAACACCAGUAGCGAAGGCGGCUCGCUGGGCCAUUCCUGACGCUGAGACGCGAAAGCUAGGGGAGCGAACAGG